RNAcentral lists this ribosomal RNA (433 nucleotides) under uncultured bacterium. Its description in RNAcentral is "partial 16S ribosomal RNA". It matches the Rfam family "Bacterial small subunit ribosomal RNA", at positions 29 to 507 of the family's 1533-position model. The record is from RNAcentral.
AACGAACGCUGGCGGCAUGCCUAACACAUGCAAGUCGAACGAGACCUUCGGGUCUAGUGGCGCACGGGUGCGUAACGCGUGGGAACCUGCCCUUAGGUUCGGAAUAACUCCCCGAAAGGGGUGCUAAUACCGGAUAAUGUCUUCGAACCAAAGAUUUAUCGCCUUUGGAUGGGCCCGCGUUGGAUUAGCUAGUUGGUAGGGUAAAAGCCUACCAAGGCGACGAUCCAUAGCUGGUCUGAGAGGAUGAUCAGCCACACUGGGACUGAGACACGGCCCAGACUCCUACGGGAGGCAGCAGUGGGGGAUAUUGGACAAUGGGCGAAAGCCUGAUCCAGCAAUGCCGCGUGAGUGAUGAAGGCCUUAGGGUUGUAAAGCUCUUUUACCCGGGAUGAUAAUGACAGUACCGGGAGAAUAAGCUCCGGCUAACUCCGUG